CAGAAGAGCCCCAAAAAACAAAAAUCCCAAAUUUUCAAGUCAAAAUGGAAUAUUUCCCAAGUAUUUUCUAGUUGUUCAUUUCAGCUUGGUUCAUCCUCACCUUCCAAAACCUGCACCUCCACCGUCGUCCCUUCACAGAAUCAACAGCACUGGGAACGGAGAGUCGCAAUCGCAUGCGUUGUGUUUCUCCUCUCCAAGAAGUUUUCGAACUACAUGCAAGAAUUUCUCAGCUGUAAGAUUCCGCUCAUGACUACGAAGGCAUCAUUUCUGGAUUUCGAUUUUUCCAAGGUCACUCCGGUGUCUCUGUCUUCUCCCUGCGCCUGUCCUUCCCGUCCUUCGUCUUGUAAGCCAUUGCCUCUACCUCGAUUCUCUCUCAGACUCAAUCCAUUGCAUCUUGCCUUUCAUGGUCCCAAGGGCUUACUAAGAAUUAACAAGGGGAGCGGUUCGUUGAGACGCCGCAUUGUGGCUGUGGCACAUGCCGCGCCCGACCGCCUUGAUGGGAACGAGUCUGAAGAGGAAGUUGAGGGAGGUCAAAAGUUAUCAUUUCAAGAGGAUCCAAUCUCAGAACAACAACAUAAAAAAAAUCAAUUGACGAAACGCAUUGUUUUUGGGCUUGGAAUUGGAAUAACUGUUGGCAUUGUCGUAUUGGCUGGAGGAUGGGUGUUCACUGUGGCUGUUGCUGCAUGUAUUUUUGUUGGAGCACGUGAGUAUUUUGAAUUGGUCAGGAGCCAUGGGAUCACUGCAGGAAUGACACCCCCACCUCGAUAUGUUUCACGGAUUUGCUCAGUUAUUUGUGCUCUCAUGCCCAUUCUUAGCUUGUACUUUGGUCAGCUUGAUGUGGCUAUCACAUUUUCUUCCUUCAUUCUUGCAAUAACAUUACUUCUACAAAGAGGGAGCCCCCGUUUUGCUCAGCUGAGCAGUGCAAUAUUUGGGCUUUUUUACUGUGGUUAUCUUCCUUGUUUCUGGGUCAAACUUCGUUGUGGUUUGGCAGUUCCAGCCGUAAACACAAAAAUAGGAGCAGCAUGGCCAUUUCUUCUUGGAGGUCGAGCUCAUUGGACUGUUGGCCUUGUUGCAACCCUAAUUUCUAUGAGUAGUAUAAUUGCAGCUGAUACGUAUGCUUUUCUUGGUGGCAAGGCAUUUGGUAAGACCCCACUUACAAAUAUUAGUCCAAAAAAGACGUGGGAGGGAACUAUUAUUGGCUUGGGUGGUUGUAUAGCUACGUCUGUCAUUCUAUCAAAAAUUCUUUGCUGGCCUACUUCUGUGAUUAGUGCUAUAGCUUUUGGGUUUCUGAAUUUCUUGGGUUCUGUUUUUGGUGAUCUUACUGAAUCAAUGAUAAAACGUGAUGCUGGUGUCAAGGAUUCUGGAUCUUUAAUCCCUGGACAUGGUGGAUUACUUGACAGAGUGGACAGCUACAUUUUUUCUGGGGCACUAGCAUACUCCUUCGUCAAAACAUUCCUGCCACUCUAUGGCGUUUGAGAGUGGGUCAGGAUACUUAUUCUCUAGGUUCUUUUCCCUUGUAUGGGGAAGAGAGAAGGCAAAACUUGUCUGCUCUCUAAGGCUGGAGGAGCAUGUGCAUCAGCUAAUUGAUCGUGGUUGUACCCAAAAGUACUUCAGCUGACUUAGUCCAGUAGAUCUUCAAAGUUCCAAGUGAAAGUCUUUGUUUACCAGCUGGUUGAAUAAACUUCAUGUAAUCUCUUCCCCUGUAGACUUUGAAUUCUCUACUAUCAUCAUCCUAUAAUGUAAGAACCAUGAUGAUAGUUUAGAAUCAAGUUGAGGAUUAUUUAUAGUAGAUGAUGAAGUAUCAACAACUAGGAAUGCAAAAUGAAAUUCAUAGUCAUUUGAAUGAAUACUUUCUCCAAUAAGGAUUUGGGGCCGAGAUUCUGGCACUUGCUUUUAUCUUUU
Momordica charantia (bitter melon) is the source of this 1902-nucleotide RNA transcript. It is a transcript of the gene named cytidinediphosphate diacylglycerol synthase 4, with no coding region annotated. Lineage: Eukaryota; Viridiplantae; Streptophyta; Magnoliopsida; Cucurbitales; Cucurbitaceae. The record is from RefSeq and is a predicted model, not a curated record.